UGGGGAAUUUUGGACAAUGGGCGAAAGCCUGAUCCAGCAAUGCCGCGUGUGUGAAGAAGGCCUUCGGGUUGUAAAGCACUUUUGUCCGGAAAGAAAUCCUCUGGGUUAAUACCUCGGGGGGAUGACGGUACCGGAAGAAUAAGCACCGGCUAACUACGUGCCAGCAGCCGCGGUAAUACGUAGGGUGCAAGCGUUAAUCGGAAUUACUGGGCGUAAAGCGUGCGCAGGCGGUUUUGUAAGACGGAUGUGAAAUCCCCGGGCUUAACCUGGGAACUGCAUUCGUGACUGCAAGGCUAGAGUAUGGCAGAGGGGGGUAGAAUUCCACGUGUAGCAGUGAAAUGCGUAGAGAUGUGGAGGAAUACCGAUGGCGAAGGCAGCCCCCUGGGCCAAUACUGACGCUCAUGCACGAAAGCGUGGGGGAGCAAACAGGAUUAGAUACCCUGGUAGUCCACGCCCUAAACGAUGUCAACUAGUUGUUGGGGAUUCAUUUCCUUAGUAACGUAGCUAACGCGUGAAGUUGACCGCCUGGGGAGUACG
This 537-nucleotide ribosomal RNA is filed under the name uncultured bacterium. RNAcentral describes it as "partial 16S ribosomal RNA". It matches the Rfam family "Bacterial small subunit ribosomal RNA", at positions 355 to 884 of the family's 1533-position model. The record is from RNAcentral.